AUGCGAGUCGUUUUUCAUGUCAACACUUUUUUUUAAUCAAAUGUUUUAUUUUAUAUUAUUUAUUUACAUAUAUUGUAUUAUUUUUAUUAUCAUUAUUAUUAUUACAAUGCUAAUACAUCAAUCUAAGUCCGUGAUUUCACAUAUUUGGUUUUACACUUUUUAUUUUAUUUUUUAUUUUAUUUUUUGUGUAAAGAACAUAGCUCAUAAUAUCAAUAGAGAGUUGAAUGCAUAAUUUCAAUAAGACACACCACAUCAUUCUAGUUUAAGCACACAAUCAGCAGACCAAUCCCAUCAGAGUUCCCACUAAUUAGGAAAACUUCCCUCUGAUGUCACCACACUGGAGGAGCAAAUAGCAACAGAGAGGGAGAGAAAAAAGUCAGAGAGGAAGGGAUAGAGGAUCAUAUAGACACUCUUAACUUCAUCCACAGCUGUUAAAACUCCAGUCCAAUCUGUGCUUUCCCACUGCACGGCGAAGAUGGCGUUGGGAGAAAUAUGUUGCACUAUCGAUAUAAGCAAGACUAGGAGCUCUUCAAAAACAGCAGGCUUCCUGUUUUUUCUUUUAUUGCAAAUGAGUCUGCUCUCUAAAGUAUGGACAACUUCCACAACAGCUAGUCCAGCAACCACUCUGAAAACAGAUGCCAAAUCAUCUACAGUGUCAGACCCUGUUACCCAGAGUUUGACAACUCAGUCUACGUAUCCGGUAAGCAUGUCCUCCUCCAUUUCUACUGACCAGAUGGCCACAUCAGGCUCUACAGUGACAGGAGCUUCAUCCACCUCAACACAGAACACUGCUUCUAACAGUGCUACUGUCGCCUCAGCUGGUAUUACUAGUAUGGAGACAGCAAACAUAUCUUCUUCAGAAAAUUACACGGCGCUAUCCUGUCCAGCAUUUGCUUGCACAAAAGAUUGUUAUGACCAGUUCAUGAAUAUGACGGCGAAGCCCUGCCAAUCCAGUGAAUACUUCUGUAAGAUAAUGAAAGGCGAUGCAGGUUACUCUGUCAGCUGCAGUGCCUCAUGUGGCGUGCCCUGUGAGAACGGGACUCUUAGUAAUUGCUCUGUCAACUGUUGCAACACAACUAACUGCCUCAACAACAGUCUGCUUGCCAUGUUCAAUUCACUCAAUACCACAGCUACAACAAAACCAACUACUACAACCACAACCAUAAAGACCACAGUUCCAACCACCCCAGCAAGCAAUGUAAGAACACACAAAGCUAUUUGUCACUUUAGGGCAAAAAUGAACAUUUUCUGCCACCUUCUGACUUUUCUUUGCUUUUCUUACUCCCAAAAGGGCAAGAAGUGUCAUAAUUUCAAGUGUAAUGGAGCAGCGUGUUACAAAGCCAAUGUCGCCAGUAAUGCUGCAUGUCCAGUUGGUCUGGACUACUGCAUGGUAAAGUAA
Long non-coding RNA from Cyprinus carpio (common carp), 1399 nucleotides. The record is from Ensembl. NCBI's taxonomy places the organism in Eukaryota, Metazoa, Chordata, Actinopteri, Cypriniformes, Cyprinidae.